This is a long non-coding RNA of Gasterosteus aculeatus aculeatus (three-spined stickleback), 6325 nucleotides long. Lineage: Eukaryota; Metazoa; Chordata; Actinopteri; Perciformes; Gasterosteidae. The record is from Ensembl.
UCUCUAGCUCUCGCUCUCGCUGGCUCUCUCUCUCUCUCUCUCCCCGGCGUCUGGUCCACGGCGAUGGACGCUGAGAUCCUUUUCCAAGAUGGUGGGGGGGGGGGGCGCUGUCAGAAGAAGCCUCUUUGUAGUUUGCUCUGUUCGCAGGUGUUCCGGCAUCCGUUGUUGGACGUUACGAGCUGCCGGACAUCUGGAGGCCCGGCGCCGAACCGACGCAGCAGCUCGUCUGAUAACAUCUUCUGACCGAUUACACGUUAAGCAACACGUGCACAUACGGCCUUCCGGACAGUGUUACGUGUUGUACUGAGGUGUUUCCUGUGCAGAAAAAAAUGUUUCUCUGUUUUGCUGCAUUCUGCUGAAAAAGGAAACCCUUUUUUAUCAUUUCUUAAUUGAAUUGACAUAAACAGAAAGUAUAUGAAAUAAAUACAGUAAAUAAAGUAAACAAAGCCUCACGUUUAGACUUCUUGACUUCCUCAACAUUUCUGCCCUUUUUUAAAUGUCCCCAUAAAGGGAUGUGCACAGGGUUCCUGAAUGUUAACUUUACCCAAAUAAACAUACCUGAUUUUUUUCUUUCUCUGUUCUGCUGGAUUCUGCUGAAAAACGAACCCCUUUUUUUGUGAUUUCUCAAUUGAAUUGACAUAUCAGUAUGAACACAAAGUAUAUGAAAUAAUUACAAAAUAAAAAAAAAGAUGUUUUCACAACUGGAAUAAGGCACACAGCGUGAGAAUGAAUGGCUGAGACAGGUAAGUACUUUGUGAGGGUCGGGGGUCGUGCUCCGUCACGGUUGAAGUAAUAUUCGGUUGUUUGGUUAGGGAACAAUCAUGGACGUGGUUUUAAAGAAACCUGACUGGCUGGAGGAAACAGGAAGCCAGCCUCCUCCCUCCAAGGCUCUGCAUCGACACACGUCUCUCCCACGGGACCAGAAUCACGGACCGGACGUUGGUCCAACAGUCGCUAAAACACCUGGUUUGGACGCGGUUCGUCCUGCGGGGCCCAAACAUAUUUUCCUCUUGUAACUUUCAAGGCAAAGUUCUUUUAACUCAUACAUAUUUAUUUAAUAAAUAGAUUUUCUCCGCCUCUAACAAUGACGGUGUUCAUCACUUUGUUAUUACAUAAAUGAAUGAUGUAACUGUGCGUUCCCAGAGACAUUACGAAGAAGGAAGGAGGCGCCGGGCUGCAGCGAGGAGACUGAACGCCUCUAUUUCCUCGUCCUGCACCCGCCUGGAACCGGAUGAGACCGACUGGUUAGUUUGGCUCUCUUCUCGCCCCCGAAUGGUGUUUCAGGCCCUUUCAAGUUGUAGCUGAAAGUCCAUGUGUUUCGAACUUGUCACAGUGAAUCGCCAGGGUGGGAGGGAGGGUGGAAGGGAGGGGGGGUAAACCCAGGAAUACCUGCCCACCACCCGCGCAGGGCCAGCAUCUGUGAGCUGUUAAGACCACUUCAUCUGCCCACCGACGGGAGGGUUCAGGCGUGAAAGCAGUCCGGAGGACAAGAUGUGUUCAUGCGGGCUUCGCUGCAGAAUGAAGAUACGAGGCGCUUUUAGGGGUGAUUUAUUGCACGCUGCGACUAAUUGCCGGUUUCUCCUCACGUAAUUGAGCGUUUAAGGAUUUAACGAUGGGAAAUGCCGUAAAAGAAAUGCCGUUCUAGAAGGAAUUCAUGCUAGAGAUGUCUUCACGCUCCUUCUGGAAUUCGAACAGGCUGCUGCUCCCGUUUGGUCAAAAUGUGACCUGCGGAGGGUUUGAUGUGAGGUGUCAAAAGCCAAAGAUCAUCAGGAAUUGCUUUUCCGUCUCUGAACUUCAUCCUCAGAUGUUCUUCCAAUGCGAUUGAAGCUUCGGUGACGGACACGGCAGCCACCUGAUUCAUGAUCUCGCACUGAUGUGAGCGAGCGGAUCUCAAUCUGCUCGUCUGACUGUGAAAUGUAAACUUACAUCCCAGAGUUUAAAAACGCCCGACGCUUCAUGAAGCAAACUCAAACAGGGAGAGUCCGCCGAGAGGGUCGAAGGUCGUCUUGUUGACAGAAUCGUCGCGUUUUGACAUAGCUCGUGACCUCUGCGUGGACUCCGUGUCCUGAGGUCAGAUCUCUGGCGGUUUGUCCGUGGUGCUUUUAUUACUUCUUUGUCUUUCUUGGAAUUUGACGGAUUUCAAAAUCUCACUCAGGUUCUUUCUGCAUUUAUUCGACAUAUUUAACAUCUUAAUAAUAUCUACCGCCCGUAUUUUUUGUUUUCUUUCUCCUCGCGGCGUUGCUUUCACACACUCGCCAUGCAUCGUGUGUUAGUAUUAGGUGUUCACACAGGUUAUCACACGCUGUAACGCACACCAUUCUUAUCGGAGUUAGCGGCGCGUAUAAGAAGAUGAUGCAUGUUUUGUCAACCCCGUUUCUGUUUGACAGGUUUCGAGGCUUAAGCCAUUACCGAGGCAUCGACAGACGGACGGGAUCAGAUGCAUCAGCCUUCAUCUUUUCUCCGGGGACUCGGCGCUCACUUCCCGAGAACAAUGGCGCAGAUAAGUGUUUAGUUGUUCGGGUGCGAUCCCGCGGUAUUUCACCCCGGCACCGCCAAACCCGAAAAAGCCCACUGACGGGGGGAAGGCAGCCCGCCCUGCGCCGCCGCAAUUAAUAACACGUGAUUCCAUCGGCUCACAAAGGAGCAUGUCAAAGGGCCCCACCUCGCUCCUCUCAGGCCUUUCACGAUACAAAUCCCCCCUCCGCCGUCCUGCAGGCUGCAGGGUUUCAAAAGGCAUCACCCCCCCCCCUCCCUCCUCACUCACUGUGUGUGUGUGUGUGUGUAACUUCUUCAACCUGCACAGGAAUCCUGUGAUGACUUGUUGUCGCGGGCAAACAGAUUGAGCUGUCAUGUGUGUCAGACGGGGGCUUUGUUCUGGCAUUAAGAGCAGAGAACGUUUCACAUCCAGAGCGGUUCUUCUUCUGAAGCAGGGAGACGUUUAGCUUUGACUGGUGGCGGGCAAACCCAUCUCACUUCAGCCCAUUUUAAAAAAUAAUAUAUGUGUUACAUUAUUUCACCUUAAUUUGUUAACAUCUCCUUAUUGUUGCAGCUGGUAAAGGAGACGUUUGCGUUUUGUUUCCGUCACGCGGCGCUGAGUAGAUGACAGAGAACGUUUGAAGUAAUUGUCAUGCAUCUUCAUAUAGCAGGAUGCCUCCCUCUGAUAUGCAGGUUGGCUCGGUACACAUUUGCAUUCGCGAUCUCUUAAUGUGCAACGAUAAAUGAAGCCGACUCAAAUGGCUUCAUCUGUGCUCCUGCAGAAAGAAUCACCUCCACACUUUGCUUUCUGUUCUUUGUGCACGUUAUUUCUAAAUACAAAGUAAAAACGCAGGCGGCAGGUCGGGACUUGAUGCUGCUGUAUUCUUACAUGCUCAAUAUCGCUGUGUAAGCAAUGCAUUCUGGGAGUCAUGACUCCUGUGAUCCAGUCUAGAUGCGUCUUUUCACCGGUUUCACAUUUUGCAGACAAAGUAGAGAUAACUCGCUGUAAAACUGCUACCAGUUUUUUUAUUUACAGUAAGUGUCUGUAUUUUGAGACGGAGAAUCUGCAGAAUGAACACAAGCUUGAUGACAAGAUGGCUGCCAGUGAUUGACCGUCGUUUCACGGUAAAAGGGUUUAGCGUUCUGCCAGAGGGUUAAACCCUCACCGUGCUUUUGUUUUUUUUGACUACGUUCAUAACAGAAAGAGCCUCGACAUCGAGAUCUCACAAAAGCUGCACAAGCGGAGCCGUUUGUUCCGUCUGAUAGAAAAGUAAUUUAUGACGGUGUCACUUGUAAUACUUUCAAAGCCGGCAUUACGCUGCUACUCAUCCCCUGACAGCUUUCAGCUGAACUCAGUGUUCCCCGUCUGCAAAGAACAACACACACACACACAGCUGAACGCCAUCUCAAAGAGGUGUGCUGACGCAAGCCGGUCGGCGUCUAUUUUUAUUCAGACUCAAAUAACACCACGUUACAGGAAGACAUGUCUCCAAAAAUUCCCCAAAGAAAAGCCAAACGUGCCGGAGGUUGUCACGGCGAUGCGAUUUCCAGAGGUUUUCUACCGGCCCGCACAGCUGGGGCGAGUUUGCUCAGGUGGGAUGCAGACGGGCCGGCUGAGGGCCGCGAGGAGCCUGCUGGACACGAGGAGGGAACAACGGCGCGCGAAGAGAGCACGCGGAAACACUUUCAAUGCUCUUUUAUUCACUCGUGUCAAAACAAGGCGUUUUUCUGUCCGUCUCGUUUUGUCUUUCUGCUCGAGGCGCCGGCGGGUUCAGAAGUGGGAAACUUUUCUCACAGGUUCGAUGCUCGGAUUCUUCUCGUGAAGCGACUUGUUUCCAAAUGUGUGUUACACGCAUUAAAUGUUUCUUACAUGCAUUAAAUGUUUCUUACAUGCAUUAAAUGUUUGUUGCAUGCAUUAAAUGUUACAUGCAUUAAAUGUGUCUUACAUGCAUUAAAUGUAUCUUACAUGCAUGCUUUUUAAGGUCUUCAGUGGAACCAUGUGGCCUUUUCACGUGUCAUUCUGUGCCACUUUCUGUGCAACAACCGGCUGUCGCAGAGAAACAAUCCUCAGCAUCACGGACCCUCUGAAUAUCAUUUAAACUUCACUGCAAAGGUUGAUUUGUAUCCACCUCACCAGCGAGUUUAUGUUAUGGCUUUACCGUUUGUGUGGUUUGGGAGAGGAGAGAUGAGUCGGUGACUCACUUUUGAAUCACCAUACGCACAAACUCUUUGCAGCCUCCAGUUGCACCACAAAAAGCUGCCAAAUGAUUUACUGAGUGACAAAAUACAUCAUGAAAGAGUGAGAAGCCAAAACAAAACACAGGGCUGCAGUGAUACCAGCUUAUAACAUGUCACUCAAAAUACAGGGUUGGGAGGGAGUGUGCAACAAUAAAUAGAGAUUAAAUAAAUGAGUACAGAAUGUUAUUAUAUUAAGCAAUAAGGUACGAGAGGCUGUGCUUUAUCUUUAUUGGACGAUAAAAUGCCUUAUUGCUUAAUUUAAUAACAUGGUGUAAAUAUAUCAUUCUUUAAAAUAUCACGGUUGUCCUGAUUACGUUGACACCCGAAAGCCGCCGAGUGUGACUUUCUCAGGAUGAAAAUGUUUCAUUUGUCAGCUGCAUUACCGAUAACCUGUUUCCAGAUGUUGAGUUUUAUUCACCGAAAUCUGCUCCGUCCAACACAAACAGGUGAACAUUCUUUGGCAUCCUGCAAGAAAAACGAUAUUCGAGUGACUUCAAUGAUUCAAAGCUAAAACUUGAUCAAAGCAGAGUUCCUGCUUUUGGAACUAGCUGCAUUCAGGGGACGAUGAACUCACAUUUUAUUUAGAUGUCAGAACUGAAGCGAGCGGUCGUGGCGGCGUGAAACAGCCAACAGGCUGACACAGGAGAGCGCUCGCCAGAGGCCCGAUUCAUCUCUAAGUGAGCGAGAAAUCCACUGUUUCAUAUCAUCUCCUCUUCAGGCGCGUUGAAAGGUUUUUCACUUCAACAAACAAAACAAGAAGAAAAAAAAAACACUUUGCACUAAAAUCAGAGCGCAGGAGCCGCUGUCCUUCACCACCACACCUCCACGAUCCAGAAGCCACAAACGCCUUUGACCCCGAGCCGCCGGGUUUCCUCUGCCGGGCUUCUAGAACAUUCAGAGGCGGCGGCAGCAGCAGCAGCAACAGGUGGACCUCCUUAAGCCGCGGGAGAACAGCCAAAGCAUAACAAGGCCCCCGUGGCUCCUAAGUGUGCCCUCAUUUACCGUGCACGCCCGCACGCACUCUCCGGGUUACAGGCCAUUAAGCCGCAGUUCAGCCGGAGUUCAGCGGGCACCGGGAGGCCCGCGGAGGCCCGCGGAGGCCCGUCCUCGGGGCGCUGUUUGGCUUUUCUGACCAAAUGUUAUGGUUAACUUCUUCCACGGAGCUCAAUGGGAACCGGCUCCUCUCGCCGCGGGCCGGAAAUCAAACGGGGGUUGAGUUGCAAAUAAUGGCUUGUUUUGCCGAAGGCCGGCCGCUGGAGGUUUGCCCCCCUCGGUUUAACGAACGAUUUAGCAGUUAGGGAAAAAAGCAAGCGGGGGCUUUGCCCCCAAAAUAACGAUUAAGGCUUCUAUCGGAUGUCAGCCGGGGAUCAUCAAGUGGCUCCGCAGCGUCAUAUCGUCUCACCUCGGGGCGGAAACGUGAUCACGCCGAGCGCUGCCGGCGGGGGGGGGCACGACCAUUUAGGCGGUAACCAUUAGACUCGAAGCUUUCCACGCGGCGAUGUGUCCUAGUCUCUUUGCGGUAAACUUUCCGUAACCUUAUUUUUGUUUUCAUUACUCUUUUUAUCAUCUUGGUCGGCAUCUGUUCAAGUGACAUUUUGCAAACCGUUGGGGG